Molecule: ribosomal RNA, 425 nt
Filed under: uncultured bacterium
Lineage: Bacteria
Description: bacterial SSU rRNA
Rfam family: Bacterial small subunit ribosomal RNA
Source: RNAcentral
GGGGAAUUGUUCGCAAUGGGCGCAAGCCUGACGACGCAACGCCGCGUGGAGGAUGAAGGUCUUCGGAUUGUAAACUCCUGUCGAGCGGGACGAACCCCUACCGGAUGAACACUCUGGUGCGCUGACGGUACCGCGAGAGGAAGCCCCGGCUCACUCCGUGCCAGCAGCCGCGGUAAUACAGAGGGGGCAAGCGUUGUUCGGAAUUACUGGGCGUAAAGGGCGCGUAGGCGGCCUUCUAAGUCAGACGUGAAAUCCCUCGGCUCAACCGGGGAACUGCGUCUGAGACUGAAAGGCUUGAAUCCGGGAGAGGGAUGUGGAAUUCCAGGUGUAGCGGUGAAAUGCGUAGAUAUCUGGAGGAACACCGGUGGCGAAGGCGGCAUCCUGGACCGGUAUUGACGCUGAUGCGCGAAAGCCAGGGGAGCAAA